This 2252-nucleotide ribosomal RNA is filed under the name Tetra pyriana. RNAcentral's name for it is "partial small subunit ribosomal RNA". It matches the Rfam family "Eukaryotic small subunit ribosomal RNA". Lineage: Eukaryota; Metazoa; Arthropoda; Arachnida; Trombidiformes; Eriophyidae. The record is from RNAcentral.
UGUAAAGUUCAAGCUCCGACUUGUGAGGGCGAAACCGCGAAUGGCUCAUUAAAUCAGUCAUGAUCUACUUGAUUGUUUAAAGUUUAUAUGGAUAACUGUGGUAAUUCUAGAGCUAAUACAUGCGUGAAGGGGGCGACUCGGCAACGAGAAGCUCUGCGUUUAUUAGACUAAGACCGGCGGGCGACAGCAAUGUCGCUCUCUCAAGCUUAAUGGUGACUCUGAGUAAACAAUGGGUGCAAGCCCAUGGUGCCGACCUGGCAACUUAAACGCGUUCGCAAGAGCGCGGCCAGGCGAAUCAAUCGAGUGUCUGCUCUAUCAACUGUGGAUGGUAAGGUAAUUGCUUACCAUGGUGGUGACGGGUAACGGGGAGUUAGGGCUCGAUUCCGGAGAACAAGCCUGAGAAACGGCUAGUAGGACUAAGGUCUGCAGCAGGCGCGAAACUUACACAAUGCUAGAUUUCUAAGAAAUAGCGAUGUAGUGAAGAAAAAUAACGAUGUGCUUGUUUUUAAACAAACUUGCACAAUUGGAAUGAGACGACUUUAAAAGGGUCAGUCGAGUAACAAAUGGAGGGCAAGUCUGGUGCCAGCAGCCGCGGUAAUUCCAGCUCCAUUAGCAUACAUUAAAGUUGUUGCGGUUAAAAAGCUCGUAGUUGAAUUUUGGACGAGCUCUUGGGCGCGGCGGCCGUCAAGGGUGCGCGCGCUCUCCUCGCGGAGACACGCCGCCUGGUCGUCGUUUGCCUGUUGAGCUCGUUGUUUCGUCACUUAAUCGAGUGCGAAGCGGGGCGGUGCGUACACGAGAGACAGUCGCAAGACUUUUCUCAGCGCAACGCCAUGUUUACCUUGAGAAAAUUAGAGUGCUCAGAGCAGGCAGUUGGGAUGUAAAAGUCUCUUUAUGCUUGAAUAAUGUUGCAUGGAAUAAUAGAAUACGGCCUCGGUUCUAUUCUGUUGGUCUUAUAGAACAACAAACAAGUUGGUUAGGGCGCUCACGGUCCCUCUUUUGGGUGGCUCGUUGGCGCGCUUGUUGUCUCGGAGGUAAAAGUUCGAGUACCAUCGCGCCUGGCGAGCCAUACAAGCCCUCUAGAGAAGGCCAGCCCUCGAUCAGCUGAGGCAAUGGUUAAAAGAAAUAGUCGCGGCGGCAUCAGUACUGCAUCGUGAGAGGUGAAAUUCUUAGACCGAUGCAAGACUAACUGAAGCGAAAGCGUUUGCCGAGGAUAUUUUCAUUAAUCAAGAACGAAAGUUAGAGGUUCGAAGGCGAUCAGAUACCGCCCUAGUUCUAACCAUAAACGUUGCCAACUAGCAAUUGGGUUGCGAUUCCUUUAGUUGGAGCGUAAAAAACUCCAGCCAUUAUGAUCCACCCAGCGGCUCUCGUAGGGAAACCAAAGUGUUUGGGUUCCGGGGGAAGUAUGAUUGCAAAGUUGAAACUUAAAGGAAUUGACGGAAGGGCACCACCAGGAGUGGAGCCUGCGGCUUAAUUUGACUCAACACGGGGAAACUUACUAGAUUAGAACUCUGGAAUGAUUGACAGAUUGAUAGCUCUUUCUUGAUUCAGAGGUUGGUGGUGCAUGGCCGUUCUUGAUUCGUAUUCCGAAACGUCUGCUUAAUUGCGAUAACGAGUGAGACCUCCUGAUGUUAACUAGUUGCCUUGGUGCGCUGUGGGACGCAAAAGUCUCUGCGCGUUCUAGUGCGUGGUUAGAGUUUCGGCUCUGCUGCGUGCACCGCGCAGCGAUGUCCUCUGCUCGCCGGCAGACUUCUUAGCACGAUUUGCAGCAAAAAGCUGCCAGAGACGAGGCAAUAACAGGUCUGUGAUGCCCUUAGAUAUUCUAGGCCGCACGCGUGCUACAAUGGCGUGUGCAGAGAGCUUGUUCGAGGUUCGUCCAGAGAGAACUGCUUGUUUGGUGCAAGAGUGUGCGGGCAACUGUGCGCACUUGUGUCGGCUUGUAAGUGACUCUGGAGCCGAGCUAAGAGAAACCGCAGCCGAAAGGUUGUGGCAAUCAUAAAUACACGCCGUGAUUUGGGAUUGGGGAUUGCAAUUGUUGCCCAUGAACGAGGAAUUCCCAGUAAGCGCAAUUCAUCAUAUUGCGUUGAUUACGUCCCUGCCCUUUGUACACACCGCCCGUCGCUACUACCGAUUGGAAGUUUUAGUGAGGCAUCUGGAUUUGCUGGCCAGGAGGAGGGCAACCUUCUCAGGCUUGGCGGAGAAGUUUGUCGAACUCAAAUUUCUAGAGGAAGUAAAAGUCGUAACAAGGUUUCCGU